GCAGGUGUAGCUCAGUGGUAGAGCAUAAGAUUGCAAUGAAGACAGUCUUCAGGUCAUCUUGGGGUCCCGUGUUCGAACCACGGCAUCUGCU
Molecule: non-coding RNA, 91 nt
Organism: Diaporthe sp. PMI_573
Lineage: Eukaryota; Fungi; Ascomycota; Sordariomycetes; Diaporthales; Diaporthaceae
Source: the annotation of a GenBank genome assembly